AACAAACAACGGACUAACAUGCAACUGACUCUAUUACUGGGCGCGAUCUCAGUCGGCGACGAAACUGUGACCGAACAGAUCGGAUACGAAAACUUUAGCCCGCUCCCCGCGAGCAGGAAGCUUUAUAUUUCGAAAGUCUGAUAAAGGUCCUAGACCUCCUACCUCCUCCUCCCUCCCUGCACCUGCACAGCCUCCUGGGAAGGAAAAAGAGACCACUCAAUCAAUGGCGCACCACUGGGUCAUUUCCAAGUCCGGUUACACGAGACAAGGAACCUACCUACUUCUCGUGGCACUGGGGGCCAUCUUGGGACAAGCUCUGGGGAAGCACGAGUGCUUCGCCGACCUGAACGGACCGAAGGACGACCCAAACAACAUCUACAAAUGCGCAGACAACGAGAAGUGUUGCCAAGAUGGCGGAAAACCCUCCUGCUGCAGGGAGAAGGAUAAGGGGAAGGCGGCC
Long non-coding RNA from Macrobrachium nipponense, 460 nucleotides. RefSeq lists it as uncharacterized. The record is from RefSeq and is a predicted model, not a curated record. Lineage: Eukaryota; Metazoa; Arthropoda; Malacostraca; Decapoda; Palaemonidae. The transcript has 3 exons.